This 467-nucleotide ribosomal RNA is filed under the name uncultured bacterium. Its description in RNAcentral is "partial 16S ribosomal RNA". It matches the Rfam family "Bacterial small subunit ribosomal RNA", at positions 28 to 506 of the family's 1533-position model. The record is from RNAcentral.
GACGAACGCUGGCGGCGUGCUUAACACAUGCAAGUCGAACGGAAAGGCCCUGCUUUUGUGGGGUGCUCGAGUGGCGAACGGGUGAGUAACACGUGAGUAACCUGCCCUUGACUUUGGGAUAACUUCAGGAAACUGGGGCUAAUACCGGAUAGGAGCUCCUGCUGCAUGGUGGGGGUUGGAAAGUUUCGGCGGUUGGGGAUGGACUCGCGGCUUAUCAGCUUGUUGGUGGGGUAGUGGCUUACCAAGGCUUUGACGGGUAGCCGGCCUGAGGGGGUGACCGGCCACAUGGGGAGUGAGACACGGCCCAGACUCCUACGGGGGGGAGGAGGGGGGAAUAUGGCACAAGGGGGGGAAGCCUGAGGCAGAAACGCCGGGGGGGGGAAGGCGGCCUUCGGGUUGUAAACCGCUUUCGCCUGGGAGGAAGGGGGGGUGACGGAAAUGGGUAAAGAAGCAGCGGCUAACUACGU